Molecule: ribosomal RNA, 380 nt
Filed under: uncultured eukaryote
Lineage: Eukaryota
Description: partial 18S ribosomal RNA
Rfam family: Eukaryotic small subunit ribosomal RNA
Source: RNAcentral
CAAUAGCGUAUAUUAAAGUUGUUGCAGUUAGAACGCUCGUAGUCGGAUUUCGGGGCGGGUCGACCGGUCUGCCGAUGGGUACGCACUGGCCGACGCGUCCUUCCUUCCGGAGACCGUCCCUACUCUUAACUGAGCGGGGGCGGGAGACGGAACGUUUACUUUGAAAAAAUCAGAGUGUUUCAAGCAGGCAUCUCGCUCUUGCAUGGAUUAGCAUGGGAUAAUGAAAUAGGACUUUGGUGCUAUUUUGUUGGUUUCGAACACCGAAGUAAUGAUGAGAAGGGACAGUCAGGGGCACUCGUAUUCCGCCGAGAGAGGUGAAAUUCUCAGACCAGCGGAAGACGAACCACUGCGAAAGCAUUUGCCAGGGAUGUUUUCACUGA